RNAcentral lists this ribosomal RNA (386 nucleotides) under uncultured bacterium. RNAcentral's name for it is "bacterial SSU rRNA". It matches the Rfam family "Bacterial small subunit ribosomal RNA", at positions 30 to 418 of the family's 1533-position model. The record is from RNAcentral.
AUUGAACGCUGGCGGCAUGCUUUACACAUGCAAGUCGAACGGACUUAGGUGCUUGCACCUAGGUUAGUGGCGAACGGGUGAGUAAUGCAUCGGAACGUACCGUGUAAUGGGGGAUAACGCAGCGAAAGUUGUGCUAAUACCGCAUACGAUCUACGGAUGAAAGCAGGGGAUCGCAAGACCUCGCGCGAUUGGAGCGGCCGAUAUCAGAUUAGGUAGUUGGUGGGGUAAAGGCCCACCAAGCCGACGAUCUGUAGCUGGUCUGAGAGGACGACCAGCCACACUGGAACUGAGACACGGUCCAGACUCCUACGGGAGGCAGCAGUGGGGAAUUUUGGACAAUGGGCGCAAGCCUGAUCCAGCAAUGCCGCGUGCAGGAUGAAGGCCUC